UACGUCAAACGUACUGACAUUCCUUCCUAAGAAGCUUUAAAGAUAACGUGCAUAUCACUGUAUAUUUUCGAACAUGCCCUGUAGAGAGAGUACAGUGUCUCCACGGGUCUUGCGUUCGGGAAUAUUUUCGUAACAUCACCCGAAUUAUGCCGAAUGAAGGACAGGUAGUAUGCUUUCGUAGAGGGAAGCGUGUGCAAGUGGCCUUGAUAAGAAGUUCUUAAAAGUUAUUAUAUUCGGAAAAUGUGCGUGAAACUGGUAAGAGAUCUGUGUUAUCGUGUGAUAUUAUAUUGUGUGUUGUGUGUGUGAAUUAUUUUGUGUCGGGAAAAAAGCUAAAGACGCAGUACCAAGUCAAUUCUGUAACCUCAAUUGUGGAAGGGGUGGCUACGUGACUUUCCACUGUCAGAGAAUGGCGGACAGCUCUUGCAGGAAGAAAUGGCGACUAUCAAGUUCAAAGUAGGUGGCCUCUGUGACAGAUGCAAAUAGCCUUGAUGGCUCAACUUCACUGAGAUGGUUCUUUGAGAUGAACGUGCAGAACCGCUGCGGGAAUAUCGCAGAGCCCUUCGCUGCGCAUAGGCGACACUCACCUUCACCUUGUACCGAGGUUAAAUAAAUCGUGCUCACAAAUGUGCCAGAGAAGAACAGUAAUCCGUUCUUCAGUUGCAGAAAGAAAAAGGGGGAAAAAGUAGUUUGAAAGAAGGAAAAUCUGUGAUAGAUUGACGUCUUCUCGUAUAAUUCGGCCCAAUCAAUCACCGGGCUCAGGACGAGAAAGAAGCUACCAGACCAGAUCCUCCUCCAUGGGGGAUUACCGCAAUGCAGUAGCAGCUUGAAAGGACCCGCCCAGAGGUCGUUCGGCGACAGUGAGGAAACAGGAACCUGAAGGAAGAUUUGGAGCGUUGAGGACUAAAGGAACAGGGUAAAGAAUCUGGCAGUUUAUGGAGAAAUUGAGGCCCGGGCAAAGCGUGCGAUGUGGAUUCUGUAUAUCUCUUCUGAAAUAACACACUCGUACUUGGAAAUACGAUCUUUUUAAAUUGAAAUGGCACUAUUAUUUGUUUUUUAUGACAAAGAUAAUGGUGGUGAUGAUAAUACAUUUAAUAAGAUUUGGCCAUGCAGAGGAAAUGAAAAAACUACGUAAAUGGUGAGUAGUGUCAGCGGUAGCAAAAUGAAAAGUGAAUGGGAUAUUGAGAUAGCGCAUGUGCGUUACAUUCGAGACCUGGAUCAACAACUCAUCAGAGAAAAUUUCUUUGGCUUACGUAUGGAGAACGUGAAGAAGAAACUGGGGUGAAAUGGUUACAGUGCGAGAUCACGAAACUGUGCUGCAAAGAUACCGAAAAGUGCAGGUGACAUACAUGAGGAAUGUGCCGUCGGUUUGAUGAGACUUUAGAACACAAAAUAGCGGAAUGCUCAGCUCCGAUGACGUCACCUUACAUUUUCUGAUCAGAUCUAACCUAACCUAACCUAACCUAACCUAACAAAACGUAACCUUAGCAUAGGUAGACAAACUCGGCUAUGUGGCCCAAUUCGCCCGAGGUCGCCUUUGUCGCCACAGGCACCGUAGUCACAUCGGUCGCCAAUUUGUCAAGGUCGUCCCGGUCGCAGUGAUCGGUAGUUCAUGUCGACGAAGUAGCAUAGAUCGAAACGGAGACUCUCCGCGGCCAUUGCUAUUAUUUAAUAAUUUAUUUCGAACCGCAAAGUAAAAACAACGCUUCGCCAAUAGAAAGAUAUUUGUUGACUCUGUUCAAAGAAAUGUUCGCUGUGUACACUAAAAAGCAUAUGAGAUAUAAAAGAGUUGAGGCUUGAAGAUUGUCAAGCAGGAAGGCAGGCCUUUACCAUUAGGCUUUAAAAGCUGGGGGCUGGGACUUAUUGACCUGAGUUGUGUUCCAUAUUUUGAUGACACCAAAUUAUUAGGUUAAAACGUAAGUACCAUAAAAGUGUAAAGCGGUUUUUUCACAAAACAGUAAAUGAAUUUAUCUAGACGGGGAAACAGAUAAGACGUGACAAGACAAGCAGGCCACAAAAUGAAUGUCUUUACAUUUUUUUUCGGUAAUGAAAUAUUAAUAUUCGUUACGAAGACGUUAUUACUGCAGCAUCAAACGUUAAAUUUUUGUAUCUCUUAUUCUUUAUAAGUCUGGAUCCACUACAGUCAUUUCGAGGCUGCACAUACUGUUGAAACCAUCUUAUUCAUGAUUUUGCUAAAUUCCGCUUUCCUCGAGGUUUGUAGUUGAAGACACUCUUUUAAUCUCUUGUCUGACAUCCAGUGAAUGAACCAUCUCCACAACUCUACAUCCUGGUGUUACUUAAUGUAGUCCCUGCCAUUUUUACAUUGUGUAAAGUUUGCUGCACGGUAAUCGCAAAGUGAAACUCUGGAUAAUUAAGUUUUAUUUCUGCCGAAUAUUGCAUCUCUGUUUUACAUAAUGAAGAAGAACCUAAGAGCAGUUAUGAUGUUGAAAUUAAAUACGAUUAAUCUGUGCUAUAUUUAAAAAAUAUGUCGAAAGAUCUGUAUUUAUUCUUAUUAAUUAUAAUACCUUAUUAGUCUUUAUUCACAGAUUUCUGGUAAACGUUAGUUCUGUAUGGGAAAUCAUUAUUACAAAUGGCUUGGUUGUCAGUCUAUUCGAAGUAUGAAUGUUAUAUACACCUUUUUGACCAAUGAUAUUUUUAGGUCCUGUCCGCCAAAAGUGUAUUUGAUAACAGUUCUGUAGCUAGCGAAACCGCGCGUAUAUUAUACAGCCCUAAUAAAAAUAGCAUGGAAUGUUAUUCCACACAUCAUCGAGAUAUCGAAUCGCAACAAUCAAUCGCCACAGCACCAUUCCUAUCAUACCACACACCCCCUCACACACGGUACACACAUAACAAGCGAAACAACUGGCCCAAACCAUCGGCUGUAUGCGGGGAAGGGACUUCCAAAUGAAUGGGCUUGCUGACACGCGAAAUGGACUCCAAAACUCGAGCACGGGUGGAAAUGAUAAAAUAGCCAAUAUCCUACAUGUUUUCCCAAACUGUGGAUCCAGUUACUAUACAAUAGAGUGAUAUUUUAUGGCAACAAAAACGAAUUGGUGAUGGUUGCAAAUUUUCAAUGGCGUUGGCUUUUGCGAGCAGGAAGCAAUAGAAUGGGAGGUGAGUUUAACAUUUAUUGUCGAAUUCCUCACUGUGUGUGUGUGUGUGUUUGCAAAACACUGUACGUUCCGAUACAACGCCGUGGGAUCCGAAAUGUAAGCAGGACUCUGAUUUAAAACAAGCCGGAUAAUAAUAUAAUUCCAAUCUGGAACCUACAGAAUUUCAUUCCAUGUGGAUAAAUAACCAUGUCAUACAGAUAGGGUAGGC
Molecule: non-coding RNA, 3318 nt
Organism: Zootermopsis nevadensis
Lineage: Eukaryota; Metazoa; Arthropoda; Insecta; Blattodea; Termopsidae
Source: RefSeq, a predicted model, not a curated record